UGAAUACGUUCCCGGGCCUUGUACACACCGCCCGUCACACCAUGGGAGUGGGUUGCACCAGAAGUAGAUAGCUUAACCUUCGGGAGGGCGUUUACCACGGUGUGAUUCAUGACUGGGGUGAAGUCGUAACAAGGUAACCCUAGGGGAACCUGGGGUUGGAUCACCUCCUUACCUUAA
Molecule: ribosomal RNA, 177 nt
Filed under: Aeromonas salmonicida subsp. salmonicida
Lineage: Bacteria; Pseudomonadati; Pseudomonadota; Gammaproteobacteria; Aeromonadales; Aeromonadaceae
Description: partial 16S ribosomal RNA
Rfam family: Bacterial small subunit ribosomal RNA
Source: RNAcentral